UCCCUGGUGGCUCAGACAGUAAAGCGUCUGCCUGCAAUGCGGGAGACCCAGGUUCAAUCCUUGGGUUGGGAA
Molecule: transfer RNA, 72 nt
Filed under: Bos taurus (domestic cattle)
Lineage: Eukaryota; Metazoa; Chordata; Mammalia; Artiodactyla; Bovidae
Also listed under: 3 other names
Rfam family: tRNA
About the family: Transfer RNA (tRNA) molecules are approximately 80 nucleotides in length.
Source: Rfam by way of RNAcentral